GUGUGUAGCUCAGUGGUAGAGCCCUUGCCUAGCAUGCAUGUAGUCCUGGGUUUGAUCUCCAGUAAAACACA
Molecule: transfer RNA, 71 nt
Filed under: Ictidomys tridecemlineatus (thirteen-lined ground squirrel)
Lineage: Eukaryota; Metazoa; Chordata; Mammalia; Rodentia; Sciuridae
Description: Spermophilus tridecemlineatus (thirteen-lined ground squirrel) tRNA
Rfam family: tRNA
About the family: Transfer RNA (tRNA) molecules are approximately 80 nucleotides in length.
Source: Rfam by way of RNAcentral